AACGAACGCUGGCGGCGUGCUUAACACAUGCAAGUCGCGCGAGAAAGGGGCUUCGGCUCCGAGUAAAGCGGCGCACGGGUGCGUAACACGUGGAUAAUCUGCCUUCAGGGCCGGGAUAACCUUCCGAAAGGAGGGCUAAUACCGGAUGAGCCCACGGGACCUUCGGGUCCAGGGGGAAAAGCUGGCCUCUGCAAGCAAGCUAGUGCCUGAAGAUGAGUCCGCGGCCCAUCAGCUAGUUGGCGGGGUAACGGCCCACCAAGGCGACGACGGGUAGCUGGUCUGAGAGGACGAUCAGCCACACUGGAACUGAGACACGGUCCAGACUCCUACGGGAGGCAGCAGUGGGGAAUCUUGCGCAAUGGGCGAAAGCCUGACGCAGCAACGCCGCGUGAGUGAUGAAGGUCUUCGGAUCGUAAAGCUCUUUCGGCAGGGAAACGGCACCCGGGUGAACAAUCCGGGGGUGACGGUACCUGCAGAAGAGCACCGGUAACU
RNAcentral lists this ribosomal RNA (492 nucleotides) under uncultured bacterium. Its description in RNAcentral is "bacterial SSU rRNA". It matches the Rfam family "Bacterial small subunit ribosomal RNA", at positions 29 to 502 of the family's 1533-position model. The record is from RNAcentral.